Non-coding RNA from Otolemur garnettii (small-eared galago), 74 nucleotides. The record is from Rfam. NCBI's taxonomy places the organism in Eukaryota, Metazoa, Chordata, Mammalia, Primates, Galagidae.
GCGCCUGUGGCUCAAAGGAGUAGGGCGCUGGCCCCAUAUGCCAGAGGUGGCGGGUUCAAACCCAGCCCUGGCCA